AUGAUGCUGGGAGGGCACGGCGGCGGCGGCGGCGGCGGGAGGUGCCUGUUCACGGCGUCGCAGUGGCGGGAGCUGGAGCACCAGGCGCUCAUCUACAAGUACAUGGCCGCCGGCUCGCAGGUGCCCCACGAGCUGGUCCUCCCGCUCCGCCACCGCGACGCAGCCUUCGCCGCCAUCGACACCGCCCCCUCCCUCGCCUGCUACCCUCCUCCGCAGCCAUCCCUGGGGUGGGGGCUCUACGGGGCGGGAUCGCAGUACGCGCGGAAGCCGGAGGACCCGGAGCCCGGGCGGUGCCGGCGGACGGACGGCAAGAAAUGGCGGUGCUCCAGGGAGGCGUAUGGGGAGUCCAAGUACUGCGACAGGCACAUGCACCGCGGCAAGAACCGUUCAAGAAAGCCUGUGGAACCAAUGAGCUCCGCCUCCUCCGUCUCCUCCCCGGCCGCCUCGUACCGCCACACCGCCCUCUCCAUGUCGCCCCCCACGCCGGCCGACACGCCCAGCUACGGCCACGGCCACGGCCACGACCACCUCCGCGCAGCUGCUGGUCAGAGCCAGAUAAACCCUCUCCAGCUCCACCUCGACACCCCGUCGCCCCCGCCGUCCUACCACAGGUACGCGCCGGCGCAGCAGUACGGGGGCUCCUUCUUCCCGAGCAGGCAGCAGGUGCAGGAGGAGGAGGCGAGGCGGCGGCAGCACUUCCUGGCUCUCGGCGCCGACCUGAGCCUGGACAAGCCGGACGCCACCACCGCGGCGUCCUCGACAACCGAGGAGAAGCCGCUGCGGCGCUUCUUCGACGAGUGGCCGCGCGACGGGAACGCCGUCGAGGGUAGGCCCUGGAAUAUGGGCCACCGGGACGAGACGCUGCUCUCCAUGUCCAUCCCCACGACGACGGCCUCGCACCCCGACCUCGCCGCCGCCUCGCGCUACCACCACCACCACAACGAUGAAUAA
RNAcentral lists this ribosomal RNA (951 nucleotides) under Triticum aestivum (bread wheat). Its description in RNAcentral is "partial small subunit ribosomal RNA". Lineage: Eukaryota; Viridiplantae; Streptophyta; Magnoliopsida; Poales; Poaceae. The record is from RNAcentral.